ACUGGGACUGUGACCAGCAUGUUGGUGGAGCACGCACAGUGGUCCCCGUGGAGCUGAUGACCAGCAGGCCAGCUGCGAGCCACAGCCCCCUCUCAAGCUGCCCACCGACCAGGGAGCGGGGCCAGCUUUUCAGAAGAGUCGGUGUCCACCUGCGUGUCCUACACAAGGCAUCUCAUGCCUCUGCAGCAGUUGCACACUUAACUCACGAAGCAUUCAGGAUGAGAGGAACUGCUUGAAAAUAUUAGAAUAACCGUUCCACACCCUGGGUCAGUACACUUGGGCAAUUUACUAAAUCAUCAAAGGUAAAUGUGUAAAGGUGACAUACAAAAGCACUUGGAAAUGAGCCUGGAGGAUCUCCAACAUUUAUAGGUGGGAAGGAGAAGAAUUUUGGAUGAAAAGGAGGACCG
This is a long non-coding RNA of Canis lupus familiaris (dog), 407 nucleotides long. RefSeq lists it as uncharacterized. NCBI's taxonomy places the organism in Eukaryota, Metazoa, Chordata, Mammalia, Carnivora, Canidae. The transcript is spliced from 3 exons. The record is from RefSeq and is a predicted model, not a curated record.